CAGGCCCACCCCAAGGUGCACAGUGGUGCAUGGGACAAACCCGGCUACACCUGGGCUUUGGGAAUCCUCUUCCCACCGGGGACCAGGGCAGGGUGUCCAAGGAGCACCCAAGGUGCUGCAGAGCAGUCAGACAAGCCCCAACCCUAAUAAAUGAUUAUCCACCUACAUGAAAGAGGCUGGGUUUUUGCUGACACUUUCUUGCUGGGAAUUGAAUGCUGCCUGAAUCAUCCAUCCAGGGCCAUUUGUUCAUAAAACUGUUCCAAGCUGCUCUGCUGUGCCCGUAUCCAACCUGUAUCUCAAGUUCAUCAAAUAUAAAGAACAAAUAAUUGUCACUGGAUGUCUUGUAAUAAAAAUAGCUUUAGUGAAAAGGAAACGGGAUGAAGAUGGAUUAAACCUUAACUGUGGGGAAACCAGCCUCCACCCCAAAUAAAGCAGCUCCUCCUCUGCAUCACGGAUGACUUCAAGCUGCACCUCUGUGAGCAUCGCCAGCCUGCUGCCCUGGGGACAUCACACAGAGCCAGCAUCCAGCUUGAGAAGGCUCCUUGCAGAGGAGGAACGUGCUCAGGGGCCGGUCCCACCCUCCAAGGUUGGCUGUGGGUGUCUGGCCAGCAGGAGUGGAGCUGAAAGACCCUUUCUGUGCCUUGGAGUUGGGAGAAGGAAGAGAAAGGAAACGGCUGAGAGAGAGACUUCAAAGUACGUGAGCAAAUAUUUACAGGUUCCAAG
This is a long non-coding RNA of Pezoporus occidentalis (night parrot), 723 nucleotides long. RefSeq lists it as uncharacterized. The record is from RefSeq and is a predicted model, not a curated record. The transcript is spliced from 5 exons. Lineage: Eukaryota; Metazoa; Chordata; Aves; Psittaciformes; Psittacidae.